AGAAGUCCCCGGCGCUCUCAUGAAUAGGUUCCCCACCAUUUUGCCCCUUGGAUCCGUCACCCCAUUACCGCCUCACGCCGCAAGAAGGGGUCCGCCGUUCGAAGUGAUGCCCAAAGCUAGAGAAGAUGCACUAUUCGCUUCGGGGCAAACAACCACUACUACUACCACUACUACUCCCCUUCCUGGCACACUCCUAACUCCUGAACAGUACCUCGGCUAUAACCUAACCGUGGGUCUGCCAGUUUACGAGGAAUACAGUGAUGUGACCACCAGCCUGCAAACAGAAUAUGACGCCACGCUUGUCACAGAAGGCGACAAGAAGGACGGAGCUUACAAGACAGGUGCUCAGCUGGCCCGCGGCAAAUUUAGACAUGAACCGUACCGUCGCUUGCCUGUCAAUGUACCGUCUUAAUUUGGUGUACCGUUCUUCUAAUUUGGUGUACCGCGCCCCCCACCACCACCACCACCACCACCACCUGUACCACCGCCAUCUGUACUGUACCACCUGUGACAUUUGUACCACGUGUCUUUUUCCGCCGCGUGUUCUGUUUGUCUCUUGUGUGUGUGUGUGUGUGUGUGAGAGAGAGAGAGAGAGAGAGAGUGAGAAAGUGAGAGAGUGAGUGAGAUUAUUGUGUUUUUCUUUCUUCUUUCU
Molecule: long non-coding RNA, 652 nt
Organism: Portunus trituberculatus (swimming crab)
Lineage: Eukaryota; Metazoa; Arthropoda; Malacostraca; Decapoda; Portunidae
Exons: 4
Source: RefSeq, a predicted model, not a curated record